GAGUCGCGGCUCAACUCACCGAGUUUACAGCUCACAACGUUGAAACGUAAAGAAACCCCAGCAAGCCGUUCUGCGACUUGACUCAGCUUACCACCAACCAACUUCAACCUCUCUUUCUCUUCCCCUCCAUUAUCAGCUACCGCUGUGAUCUUCACAAUGGAAGGCUUCCUAUUCAGACGCUCAGAUAGCGCGUGCAAAAGAUUUAUGUAUUGGCAUCCCUGGCCUACAUCGAAAUCGAUAACAUGAAGCCCGCUGCUGCUGGUGGGCUGGUCUACGGUAGCCUCAAGAAUUGCGAGAUUAGCAGCCAUAAACCCAAGUUUGAAACAAGGAGAGACUUCAUACAGUAACCGGGUCGACCCUAAAUGUUCCUUGCUAUACAGCUCCGCCACUG
Molecule: unclassified non-coding RNA, 391 nt
Filed under: Hevea brasiliensis (rubber tree)
Lineage: Eukaryota; Viridiplantae; Streptophyta; Magnoliopsida; Malpighiales; Euphorbiaceae
Source: RNAcentral